RNAcentral lists this ribosomal RNA (266 nucleotides) under uncultured bacterium. Its description in RNAcentral is "partial 16S ribosomal RNA". It matches the Rfam family "Bacterial small subunit ribosomal RNA", at positions 28 to 286 of the family's 1533-position model. The record is from RNAcentral.
GACGAACGCUGGCGGCGUGCCUAACACAUGCAAGUGGAGCGACGAACCGGGCUUCGGCCCGGGGCCAAGCCGCGAACGGGUGAGUAACACGUGGGUAACCUGCCCUGAUGAUUGGGACAACCCGAGGAAACUCGGGCUAAGUACCGAAUGUGCCCUCCGACCAUAAGGUCUGCGGGGAAAGGAAGCUUCGGCCUCCGCAUCGGGAUGGGCCCGCGGCGCAUUAGCUUGUUGGUGAGGUAACGGCUCACCAAGGCGACGAUGCGUAG